This 904-nucleotide ribosomal RNA is filed under the name Priestia flexa. RNAcentral describes it as "bacterial SSU rRNA". It matches the Rfam family "Bacterial small subunit ribosomal RNA", at positions 38 to 917 of the family's 1533-position model. The record is from RNAcentral. Lineage: Bacteria; Bacillati; Bacillota; Bacilli; Caryophanales; Bacillaceae.
GGCAUGAGGCUCUAUACAUGCAGUCGAGCGAACUGAUUAGAAGCUUGCUUCUAUGACGUUAGCGGCGGACGGGUGAGUAACACGUGGGCAACCUGCCUGUAAGACUGGGAUAACUCCGGGAAACCGGAGCUAAUACCGGAUAACAUUUUCUCUUGCAUAAGAGAAAAUUGAAAGAUGGUUUCGGCUAUCACUUACAGAUGGGCCCGCGGUGCAUUAGCUAGUUGGUGAGGUAACGGCUCACCAAGGCAACGAUGCAUAGCCGACCUGAGAGGGUGAUCGGCCACACUGGGACUGAGACACGGCCCAGACUCCUACGGGAGGCAGCAGUAGGGAAUCUUCCGCAAUGGACGAAAGUCUGACGGAGCAACGCCGCGUGAGUGAUGAAGGCUUUCGGGUCGUAAAACUCUGUUGUUAGGGAAGAACAAGUACAAGAGUAACUGCUUGUACCUUGACGGUACCUAACCAGAAAGCCACGGCUAACUACGUGCCAGCAGCCGCGGUAAUACGUAGGUGGCAAGCGUUAUCCGGAAUUAUUGGGCGUAAAGCGCGCGCAGGCGGUUUCUUAAGUCUGAUGUGAAAGCCCACGGCUCAACCGUGGAGGGUCAUUGGAAACUGGGGAACUUGAGUGCAGAAGAGAAAAGCGGAAUUCCACGUGUAGCGGUGAAAUGCGUAGAGAUGUGGAGGAACACCAGUGGCGAAAGGGGCUUUUUGGUCUGUAACUGACGCUGAGCGCGAAAGCGUGGGGGAGCAAACAGGAUUAGAUACCCUGGGUAGUCCACGCCGUAAACGAUGAGUGCUAAGUGUUAGAGGGUUUCCGCCCUUUAGUGCUGCAGCUAACGCAUUAAGCACUCCGCCUGGGGGAGUACAGGUCGCAAGACUGGAAGACUCAAAGGAGAUUGAUCGA